RNAcentral lists this ribosomal RNA (301 nucleotides) under uncultured bacterium. RNAcentral's name for it is "partial 16S ribosomal RNA". It matches the Rfam family "Bacterial small subunit ribosomal RNA", at positions 509 to 807 of the family's 1533-position model. The record is from RNAcentral.
CAGUCGCCGCGGGAAUACGUAGGGUGCGAGCGUUAAUCGGAAUUACUGGGCGUAAAGCGUGCGCAGGCGGUUUUGUAAGACAGAGGUGAAAUCCCCGGGCUCAACCUGGGAACUGCCUUUGUGACUGCAAGGCUAGAGUACGGCAGAGGGGGAUGGAAUUCCGCGUGUAGCAGUGAAAUGCGUAGAUAUGCGGAGGAACACCGAUGGCGAUGGCAAUCCCCUGGGCCUGUACUGACGCUCAUGCACGAAAGCGUGGGGAGCAAACAGGAUUAGAUACCCCCGUAGUCCCUGUCUCUUAUAC